RNAcentral lists this long non-coding RNA (830 nucleotides) under Bos taurus (domestic cattle). RNAcentral describes it as "long non-coding RNA NONBTAT004078". The record is from RNAcentral. Lineage: Eukaryota; Metazoa; Chordata; Mammalia; Artiodactyla; Bovidae.
AUAUAUUGUCAGAUUUCUUUAUUCUCUUAUUUAGGUGAUGAUAGCACCUUAAGAGUGAUGAUUAAUUUUUGGCUCUUGGUUUAUUUCUUUUACAUGCAGACUAAGACUUAAAGUAGCAGUAUCUAAAUCAAAACUCAGAUUUACCUUUGAAAUAUUAGGGCAAAGUCACAAAGCUUUCCAGGACUUCAGUGUCCUAUAUAUAAAAUGGAAAAAUGUUUCUUAAGAAUACUGUGGAGAAUGCCUAUUAAUGAGGGAUUUGUUCAUGCCAAAUAUUAAAUAUCAUUUCUAAAUAAUAGGAUUUGGUCAGAUUAUCUUAGCAUCUUUCUACUUGCAUCAAGUAAAAUUGCAAUAGUUUGAUCUGUAAAAAUUAAAGAGUAGAACUCAGUCUUUCAUGUAACUCCAUUUAGUGUUAGGGUAAAAGGAAAGCUAUCCUUGGGGAUGGAAAAUUCAGUGAUAAAGUAAGGAGGAGGAGGAAGUAAUAGCAUACAUUUCCUAAAUCAUGCAAAUUAUUGUGCUCAGAUAAUUCAGAGAGCCAAUUUUUUUGUCUCUCUCCAAAAGGAACGUACUUCAUAGCUGCAUUAAUUUAAAACACUAAAAUAACAGGGUGGCAGCACUCAGUAAGAAACCAGUGUGACUUUUGGCUGCAUUUCUGUUGCUGCUAAGUCCUUUUCAAAUAUUGUAAUUAAUUAUACUCUUUCUGCUAUUUAUUUUGCUUAUCCUAAUUUAUCCAUGCUAUUCCUUGAACUGCUGGUUCUAUACCCUUAGUAAGAAAGAAGAUGAGAAGAAAAUAGUUUGUGUCUUAUUGUGGAGAUUGCUAUUUCUUGCAUGAC